Cyprinus carpio (common carp) is the source of this 1897-nucleotide long non-coding RNA. The record is from Ensembl. Lineage: Eukaryota; Metazoa; Chordata; Actinopteri; Cypriniformes; Cyprinidae.
AUGCCUAGAUCCAGCGGUGUGGGAUUUCGAAUCUGUUCCCCAGCCACCAUGGAGGAACGGAGGGGGAGAUUCCUAAACUUAACCACCCUUCGUCAAAGGGGGAGUGAGGUGGGUGGCCUGGCGCAAUUGUUUUGGACCUUGGCAGUCGGGUUAGGUUAUAACGAUGCAGCACUGAAGGCCUUGUUUAAUGAUUGCCUGGAUGACCCUUUGCCUCAAUGGGAGAUGAAGGGGUUGGAGAUCCUGGACUUUUGGGGGUUUACCCAUUACCUGCGCCAUCGUGCUCAGUGGGAUGCAGCAACCACACCUGAGUCUCCAGACAAGAUGGCCGCCAGCCCAGCGCCACAGCACAAGAUGGCCGCCAGCCCAGCGCCACAGCACAAGAUGGCCGCCAGCCCAGCGCCACAGCACAAGAUGGCCGCCAGCCCAGCGCCACAGCACAAGAUGGCCGCCAGCCCAGCGCCACAGCACAAGAUGGCCGCCAGCCCAGCGCCACAGCACAAGAUGGCCGCCAGCCCAGCGCCACAGCACAAGAUGGCCGCCAGCCCAGCGCCACAGCACAAGAUGGCCGCCAGCCCAGCGCCACAGCACAAGAUGGCCGCCAGCCCAGCGCCACAGCACAAGAUGGCCGCCAGCCCAGCGCCACAGCACAAGAUGGCCGCCAGCCCAGCGCCACAGCACAAGAUGGCCGCCAGCCCAGCGCCACAGCACAAGAUGGCCGCCAGCCCAGCGCCACAGCACAAGAUGGCGUGGUGGCCGAGGUGGUUCUCGAUGCAAUGUCCGUUGCCGAGGCGGUGCCUGAUGCCGAGGCGGUGCCUGAUGCCGAGGCGGUGCCUGAUGCCGAGGCGGUGCCUGAUGCCGAGGCGGUGCCUGAUGCCGAGGCGGUGCCUGAUGCCGAGGCGGUGCCUGAUGCCGAGGCGGUGCCUGAUGCCGAGGCGGUGCCUGAUGCCGAGGCGGUGCCUGAUGCCGAGGCGGUGCCUGAUGCCGAGGCGGUGCCUGAUGCCGAGGCCGAGGCGGUGCCCGAGGCUGUGCCCGAUGCCGAGGCGGUGCCCGAUGCCGUUCCCGAUGCCGAGGCAGUGCCCGAUGCCGUUCCGGAGGUCGAGAUGGUUCCUGAGGCCGAGGCGGUGGCCGAUGUCCAAAGCCGUUCCUGAGGCGGUGUCCAAUGCCGUGACCUGGCCAUCGCCACAGUCUGCUCCUCACUGGCUCCCCGAAUGGCAGGUUCCGUUCGGGCCACUCAAAUGGCGAAUUCCUCCCUGGCCGUCUGCACAACGAGAAUGGACUGAUCCACCGUGGCCACCUGAACUGCCUGGUCCCUCGUGGUCCCCUGAACUUUCGGGUCCACCAUGGCCCCCUGAUCUGACCGAGCCACCUGGGCUGCCAGGGGAGCCAUCGCUGCCGGUCCCAGUUCCCCUACACGGGCCUGGCCCGCCAUCCCUCCCCCUGUUCUGCCUCCACCAGUCCACCUCCCUCCUGGUCUCGUUGUUUUGUUUUUGGUGUUUUGUUCUGGGGAGCAUCUGUAAUGUCACAGUGUCUGGUCUGUGUAUCCCUGGGUGUCCACUAGAGGUCUCACUUCCCAUUAUCGUCACCCCACUUCAGAACUGCAUUUCCCAUAGUCUUGUCUGUUUCAUCACUGCUCAUUGCACUCAGCUGUCCCUGGUCAUUAAUCAUUGCACUCAGCCAAUUCCCCGUUAGUAUUGUAAUCACCUGUCUAUAUAUACCUGGUUUGUUUCUGUCUGUGUCACGGAGUCCUUGUUUAAUGUCACCCUGGUUUUGUGUUUCCUUGCUUUGUUCGUGUUUCUUGUUUUGGACUGAUUACCUGGAUUUUGACCGUUGCCUGGCUGGAUUAUGAGUUUUGGACUAUCCCAAUAAAACAUACUGCUAUUGGAUCUACCUGUUUGUG